RNAcentral lists this ribosomal RNA (465 nucleotides) under uncultured bacterium. Its description in RNAcentral is "partial 16S ribosomal RNA". It matches the Rfam family "Bacterial small subunit ribosomal RNA", at positions 28 to 507 of the family's 1533-position model. The record is from RNAcentral.
GACGAACGCUGGCGGCGUGCUUAACACAUGCAAGUCGAACGGAAAGGCCCCCUUGUGGGGUACUCGAGUGGCGAACGGGUGAGUAACACGUGAGUAACCUACCCUUGACUUUGGGAUAACUUCAGGAAACUGGGGCUAAUACCGGAUAGGAGCUCCUGCUGCAUGGUGGGGGUUGGAAAGUUUCGGCGGUUGGGGAUGGACUCGCGGCUUAUCAGCUUGUUGGUGGGGUAGUGGCUCACCAAGGCUUUGACGGGUAGCCGGCCUGUGAGGGUGACCGGCCACAUUGGGACUGAGAUACGGCCCAGACUCCUACGGGAGGCAGCAGUGGGGAAUAUUGCACAAUGGGCGGAAGCCUGAUGCAGCAACGCCGCGUGCGGGAUGACGGCCUUCGGGUUGUAAACCGCUUUCGCCUGUGACGAAGCGUGAGUGACGGUAAUGGGUAAAGAAGCACCGGCUAACUACGUG